RNAcentral lists this ribosomal RNA (918 nucleotides) under Triticum aestivum (bread wheat). RNAcentral describes it as "partial small subunit ribosomal RNA". Lineage: Eukaryota; Viridiplantae; Streptophyta; Magnoliopsida; Poales; Poaceae. The record is from RNAcentral.
AUGAAUACCUCUUCUGUGCCGGGCCCGGACGGCCUCCCUGUCAUUUUCUUCCAGACCUUCUGGAAUGUGAUUAAAACCGAGGUCAUGGCCAUCUUUGAUGAAUUCUUUGUUGGUUCUGUUGACCUAGGUCGCCUCAACUAUGGGAUCAUCUCUCUCAUCCCCAAGGUCCCUGGGGCGUCUGACAUCCGGCAGUUCCGCCCGAUCAUGGUCAUUAAUGUGAUCUUCCGGAUCUUGGCCAAGGGGUACGCCAAUAGGGUGACCCUGCUUGCGGAUCGGAUAACCCAUCCUAACCAGUCGGCCUUCAUUAAGGGCCGGUUCAUCCUGGAUGGUGUCCUUGUACUUCAUGAGGUUCUUCAUGAGGUCCGGGUUAUACGCCUUAAGGCGGUUUUUCUGAAGAUCAAUUUCCACAAAGCCUACGACACUGUUAGCUGGACCUUCCUCAGGGAAGUCCUUCUUCGGAAGGGCUUCGAUGACCGAUGGAUCACUAGAGUCAUGCAAAUGGUCUCUUGCGGUCGCACGGCGGUCAACAUCAAUGGUGAGAUUGGUCCUUUCUUCCCUACCCUUUGUGGCGUGCGCCAAGGCGACCCCUUCUCCCUGUUCCUCUUCAAUAUGGUAGUGGACGCUCUUGCCUCCAUUCUUGAUAAGGCAAAAGCCACUGGCCACAUUCGUGGGAUUACCCCCCACCUUUCUGGGGGCACGGGGAUCUCCAUCCUUCAGUAUGCUGAUGACACGAUCAUCAUGGUCGAAGGCUCGGAGGCGGACAUCGCCAACCUUAAGUUCCUCCUUCUCUGCUUCCAACGGAUGUCGGGCCUCAAGAUCGACAAGAGUGAUGUUAUGGUGAUGGGAUAUUCCCCCUCUGAGUCUAUGGCCAUCGCCAACAGACUUAAUUGCCGUCUGGGUUCUUUCCCCACUUCCUAA